CUUUCCCUCUUUCUUCAGGCCUAACACAUGCAAGUCGAGCGGAUGAAGGGAGCUUGCUCCUGGAUUCAGCGGCGGACGGGUGAGUAAUGCCUAGGAAUCUGCCUGGUAGUGGGGGAUAACGUCCGGAAACGGGCGCUAAUACCGCAUACGUCCUGAGGGAGAAAGUGGGGGAUCUUCGGACCUCACGCUAUCAGAUGAGCCUAGGUCGGAUUAGCUAGUUGGUGGGGUAAAGGCCUACCAAGGCGACGAUCCGUAACUGGUCUGAGAGGAUGAUCAGUCACACUGGAACUGAGACACGGUCCAGACUCCUACGGGAGGCAGCAGUGGGGAAUAUUGGACAAUGGGCGAAAGCCUGAUCCAGCCAUGCCGCGUGUGUGAAGAAGGUCUUCGGAUUGUAAAGCACUUUAAGUUGGGAGGAAGGUCAGUAAGUUAAUACCUUGCUGUUUUGACGUUACCAACAGAAUAAGCACCGGCUAACUUCGUG
RNAcentral lists this ribosomal RNA (484 nucleotides) under uncultured bacterium. RNAcentral's name for it is "partial 16S ribosomal RNA". It matches the Rfam family "Bacterial small subunit ribosomal RNA", at positions 36 to 507 of the family's 1533-position model. The record is from RNAcentral.